RNAcentral lists this long non-coding RNA (769 nucleotides) under Panax ginseng (ginseng). RNAcentral's name for it is "long non-coding RNA (PGIN_LNC008018)". Lineage: Eukaryota; Viridiplantae; Streptophyta; Magnoliopsida; Apiales; Araliaceae. The record is from RNAcentral.
CUUUGCCUUGUUGCUUCCUUAUUCACCAUCUGAUAUGCCUGUUGGAGUGUUGGAAAGGGGUCUCUUUGUAGGACAUUUUGUCUCACUAUGACCCAUUAAGUACUGAUCAUAAACCUGGUUCUUAUCCUCCUUAGCUUGUUAACGGGUAAUCACAACAGCAUCCAAAUAUUUAUAUUCAUCCUACUCAUUAACAUCAAGUUCUUGCCACAUACUACAAAGUUCUGAAUAGUAUUGAGGCACUGUCAUACCUUCCGGUUUCAAUUCCUUAAUGUUCUUUAAUUCGUAAGUUUGAGCUUCAUUACCAGCUUCAGAGUAUGUAUCUUUGAGUGACUUCCAGAUUUCUGCAGCAGUCUUCAUAUACAUGUACCUUUAGCAGAACUUGGUACCAUGUGAUUAAUUAGAAAGGACCUCCCAAGGGAAUCCUCCAUAGUCAAUCUCGCAACAUCAACACCACCAGUUGUAGGCUUCUUCUUGUCCCCCGUAAGAUAUCCGCUACAAUCUCCUGAGGCAAUGGACAGAAGCAUAGAUUGUGCCCACAACAAGUAAUUUGUUCCAUCGAAUUUAACAAGACUCAAAGGGAAGGUUGGUGUUUCUGAAUUUCACGUUCCUAUACUAGUGUUGGUAUUAAAACUAGUGUUUGUGGAACUAUUCUCUCCUGUUGUAGACAUGUUGCUGGUGAAACAAAAAAAACUGCGAGAUCUUCAAAAAGGGUGAAUGACUCACCUAUAUCAUAGAUUCAAACAAAGCACCCUGGUGGUUUAUAUUUACC